Long non-coding RNA from Drosophila santomea, 1705 nucleotides. RefSeq lists it as uncharacterized. NCBI's taxonomy places the organism in Eukaryota, Metazoa, Arthropoda, Insecta, Diptera, Drosophilidae. The record is from RefSeq and is a predicted model, not a curated record. The transcript has 5 exons.
CCUUUCUCCGCGAUUCUCAUUGCUUGCACUUAAGCAGCUUCGGAAAAUAUAAAAUUUUAUGUGAAAUAUAAAAAAUAAAUACUAAAUUAACAACAAAAAUAAUACCAAGUGAAUACUAAAUUAACUGCCUUUCUCCGCGAUUCUCAUUGCUUGCACUUAAGCAGCUUCGGAAAAUAUAAAAUUUAAUGUGAAAUAUAAAAAAUAAAUACUAAAUUAACUAUAAAAAUGAAAUCGAGUGAAUAGUGAAUUACCUGCCUUUCUCCGCGCUUCUCAUUUUUCGCACUCAAGGAGCUUCUCUCUCUUUCUCAGCAGUGUUACUCAUCAAAUUACUUGGCACUUAAUUGAUUCGUGUGCGGAAAAUACGACGAGGGAGCACUUGGAUGGCUUAUAAUUCCCCAGCUGGUAUCCGAAUGACUGACUGCAAUUGAUUCGACUACCGGCGUAUUGCCCCCACUUGAAUGCUAUCAUCGGGAGCUCAUUUACAUGUGAAUUUGCCGAAUGUCAUUUGGAUAUUUUGACAGUCGAAGGCAACCUAAGUGGGCAUACGAAAACAAGGAGCCAUAUGUUUGCACAGGCGGAGGAUUUUCCAUUCCCAUGUCUUGCUGACCCUCUUCAAGUGCCAGGUGCUCCGAAUUCUCCAGUGUUUGCCGACUCCUCCGCAGUCAGUGUCUCUGGUGUCUUAUUGAUUUUCUCCUAUAGCUUUCACUUGCCGCAAUUUGAAGUGCCACAUACACACCAACACAGAUAUUCACGCACACAGACACGGGCACGCAUAAAAGCGAAAAUGAGAUGAAAACGGAGCCACCAAGAAGGCAACGAGAGGAAUAAACCACAAAGAGAGACAUGAGGCAAAAAGAAUCGAAUACAAAAGUGGCUUUUAUUGGCACUCCCCAAAUAGUUAAUUAUAAAUUCCGUAUAACCGCUUCACGUGAAUUAAAAAUUAUAAAUAUUUAAAUCAGUAUGGACACAAACUGAACCAUAUAUCGUAUAUAGAAAAAGUAUUCAUUUAUCUCCCCAUCAAUUGCGCACUUGAUGUUAAAUGACUGACAGAUUUCCACCCACCCUUUCGAUUUUAUAUUUUCCCCGCGAAAACAAAGAAAAUGCUUGAAAUAAAUAUAUAUAUAUAUUCUCGUGUACGAUAACGAGCGAAAAAAGGAGAAAUAGUCGUAUCGAUCCGCUUCGCUGGGAUUAUUGCUGCCCAUGAUUUUGCCAAAAACUGUGAAGAAAUAAAAAACAAAAAUACGACAAGCGGAUGGGUGAAAAAACAAGAAAACAAUUUAAGAGCUGCCACCAAAGGGUUAACAACAACGUGGACAAUACUAACACAACGAGGGAAAUCGCAGCAAUUCAAUUAAAAUCGCUGACACAGACUCAAAGUGGGGAAAAGCGUGAAAAUCGAAGUAAAGCUGCCGGAGAUUGAGGCGAACGAAAAUAGACGUUAAAAGGGUUAAAUGGAAAUGCAGUAUGGGCUACAAAAAGCCACGCUUCUUUUGCCAGCUUGAAUGGGCAUUACGUGGCGAGGUCGAAAAGUCAAAAUAAGACUUUAAGAAAAACUGAAAGACUCUACUCACGUUUGAUGAAUGUCCUGCGGAUGCGCAGGAAGCAGGAUCGCGAGCGGGACAGUCGGACGAGCUCCUCCGGAUGCGAUCCGUUCUGGAUGCAGAUGAUCGGCGCCAAGGGCGCGAUGCGGCAGUGACUGCGACUG